This 1083-nucleotide long non-coding RNA is filed under the name Monodelphis domestica (gray short-tailed opossum). RNAcentral describes it as "lncRNA (ENSMODG00000038656.1)". The record is from RNAcentral. Lineage: Eukaryota; Metazoa; Chordata; Mammalia; Didelphimorphia; Didelphidae.
CUGCUCUCUCCAUCACUCUUUGUGGUGGUGGGGACCCAGGAGUUUCUUUCUUUUUGUGACUCCCCUCUGAUCUGACAUGUUGCUUCAAGGAGAUUUACUCCACCAGCAGAAGAUAUUUUCUUUAAGCUCUGAACAGAGGGAGACACUCUGGAUGGGCAUAAGUUCAAAGGGGCACUCAAGGUUGGGUGCAGAUUUCCAGCAUUGGGACUUUGGCUGUCUACAGAAUCAAAUCACAGAGAGCAAACCACAUCGACCUAAGGCGGGAAGUAGACACUGAGAGCACAGAAUCAUCUAGAUCCAAUGCCAAGAAAAAAUUCAGGAUGACUGGUGAUGACCACAGAGGCAGGGGUUGACCUUGGCAUGUUUGAUGACUGAUAAAAUUCUGAGCACUCCACAGUGCUUGCUUUAUGGACUUUGAAACAAAUGGUUCUCACCCAUCUAUUUCACCAUGGAAGUCGUCACGUGCUUGGGGUAUCUGGAAAUGUCACCGAUUGAUUUCUUUCAGGGAAAGAUUUAUGGAAUCACACAAAAGGCUGAACACUCAACAAGAGAACGUGAAGAGAUUCAAAGUAUCCUUCAUUUCACUUGAGAUCCUUAAAGAGAAUAAAGGGCCUCUAAAGGAAGCAGAUGGAAGUCUAUAAUGGGAAAAAUGUUUCUGAAUUGGAGCAUAGGAGAUUCAACCCUUGUCAAGAUGAUGAGACAUAGUAAGAAAAGGAAAAAAAGACAGUUGCACAAUGGGAGAUUAAAAAGACUUUUGCAAUUCUUUCUGAAGAAGAUUCUCUUAGGGGGAAGAAGCUCUGUAACCUCCUGAGAAUGAAUGGAGUGAUAGAGUUACAAAAAUUCAUCAGGUGUGAGAGAAAGACAGAGAGAUAGAGGUACAGAAAGUAGAGGAAGAUGGAAAGACAAAGAGAUACACACAAAAACAGAAAGGAUAUAUAUUGGGGGAGAGAGAAAGAGAGAGGAAAGAGAGAGAUACAGAGAAACAGAGAUGGAGAUCUCCUGUCUUCCUCUGCACAGGCAUUUAUUUACUUCAUUGGAUAUACGUUAUGGAGUACUUUCUAACACAAUAAAAUGGAUGACAAC